Molecule: long non-coding RNA, 940 nt
Organism: Poecilia latipinna (sailfin molly)
Lineage: Eukaryota; Metazoa; Chordata; Actinopteri; Cyprinodontiformes; Poeciliidae
Exons: 3
Source: RefSeq, a predicted model, not a curated record
GGUUGGCAAAACAGAUGGUUUCAGACCAGAGGUUGAGCCGAGGACAGCUUACGUUGAGCAGCUAGAGCAGAACCUGGAAACUAGCAACAUUGGUGAAGAAAAGCACAUACAAGUUUGUGAUUAGAAACUUGUAAGAAAAAACACUGAUAGACAACAACAUGUCAGUGGAAGAUAGCAAAAGCUGCAGGAGUCUGGACAGACGGGAAGAGGAAGGAGAAGAGGGAAACAGCUCCAAGCUGAGGAAACCUCACUGCUGUGAUCAGUGUGACAGGAGUUCUUCUGCCACAUGGAUUCUGAAACAUCUACGUAUCCACACUGGAGAGAAACCUUUCCUCUGAGACGUUUGUGGAAUGAGCUUUAUUCGUCUGUCGUCUCUUAAGUGUCAUCGGCUGAUCCACACUGGAGAGAGAUCUUAUGUCUCUAGCCAUUGUAGCAAGAGAUUUGCAAAGUCUGGAAAUUUGAAAAGUCAGCAGAGAAUUCACACGGGCUGCAGCCUGUGUGGAGAGAGUUUGGCAGCUUUAAAGUGUCACCAACACGUCCACACAGAAGAAAAGCCAUGUACCCGUGAGCAGUAUGGAAAGAGUUUUGCUUUGUCAAACUAUUUGAAGAGUCAUCAAACUACCCACACAGCUUCAUGUCUGUGGCUGCUGCAGCAAAAGUUUCAAAAUGCUGGGGCAUUUGAAAGCACAUCAGAGAAUCCACAAGAGAGAAGCCGUAAAGCUGUGACCGAUGCGGAUGAUGCUUCAGUCAGUCAGGAACUUAGAAAGCACAUCAGAGAACCCAUGAUGGAGAGACAGGACAACCUGAUCCAUCUCCGUCUCCUGUUUCGUCUUGAUAUUUCACUAACACAAAUGGAUUGCAACCAUGUCCCCCAGCAGGCCAAGGCAGGCCGUGUAGAAAUGGGACGCCUGUCUCAGCUCCUCUCUACGGAGGGCAACCA